CUGAUGUUCCCCAUCCCGCA
This 20-nucleotide microRNA is filed under the name Mus musculus (house mouse). RNAcentral describes it as "microRNA 5132". The record is from RNAcentral. Lineage: Eukaryota; Metazoa; Chordata; Mammalia; Rodentia; Muridae.